GGCAGCGAAGUUGCCCUUUCGCCUCAUGAUUUAUAUUUGGUCAGAGUAGCCCUGUUCCGCUUUCUACUAGCUGGAAUGUGUGUUGGACAUGUUGUUUCAAUAUGAGACAAUCAGCUGGGCCCUCUGUGGAAUGUCCCCGGAGACUGGAAACGACCUCCCAACAGGGUCAUUUGUUCAGCAGACUUCUAAGUGGCAUUCCUCAACAUCUGCAUUCUAUUAAUACCUUCAGAAUAUUUCCAUCAGCUUUGGGAAAUCAGAAGAUGCUUUGAGAGAUGGUCGGCACCGAAUCCCGGGGAAUGUUUAAUUCCUCUUCGUGAGUCUUUGGCGUUGCCAGGGACCUCCUCCUGCCCUGUCCCUUCUCCUUCAGCGUCACGCAGGUGGAUAUCCACGUUCGCCCAAUAAAACCCCAGGGCGAGGCGGUCUGUCAGGUGGACCGCUUUAGCCUAGGAGGGCCCACGGUGGAAGGCGAGUGUGUAAACACGCGGGAGAGAGUUGGAUGCGGGCAGAGCCAGCCAGGACAGACACCCUGGCUGCGUCUGCUGGAAAGGAGUGGAGAGAAAGGCCACAGCGCAAGGGGCCCCAGCGCAGUGGUGCAGGGCUGGCUUCCAAGUGCCCAUGGGCGCCUCGGCCCGGACGGCCGGCCCCGUCUUGUCCUCCCAGGGCACGGAGGUGUCGAGGGGAAGGUUUGAAAAGAGGGGUGCAACGAAGAGGUGGAAGCAAGGGGGCAUUUCUUUAAGGAAAAUGAAAAAAAAAACCCAACUAGUUGAAAUACACAGAUCACGUGGAACUAAAACUUAGGUUAGUAAAGAGCACACUCGGGGAGGGUGAUGUGCUCCCGGACACUUGGCCUCCUGAGGAGCCGGAUGUAGAGGAGACCUCGGGGAGAAAGUCGUGAGGGUGGAGGGCUGCUGGAUGGGAAAGAUGAGGGAGAAAACAGGGAAUCUGUGAACCCGUGCAGGGCCAGUUCAACCCGGCUCAACUCAGCGGAGUGUUUCAUGAAUAUUCACCGUGUGCAAACACGGAGUCAGGUACCCUGUAAAGCAGGCUUUGAGGUCACAGGAAACGUGAUCAGAAAGUGAGAUCUAACAGAGGGGGACAGUUUCCCAAGGGGCAUCAAGGAGACACUCAGGGGAAGUACGGGCCCUGUGGACCGUGGGCCGGCCAAGCCGACGUGGGGGCCAGACCAUGCACCUGCUGGGGGUAAGUGAAAUGCAUGUGCCUCGGUGCGGAAGCCCCCUCCCCAAAUCUGUCACAGCAGCUGAAGAGGUGUGUGCAAACAGAUCCAUUCAGGUAUUACCUUCAAAGGAUUAAAGAGUAAGCCUCUGCCUCUAAAAAGUCCUGGAAACGUAAUUUUGCCCAACAUGUACGUUACUGCUUAGAAUGCUAAUAUGCAAGCCUGGAGGGAUGAAUUAUAAGUCUUGGUAAAAAUUAUGGAGCAGUUUUCUUGGAAACUGAGAAGAAUGCCAGACUCUGAUAAGGCCCCUGAUUGUGAUAAACUGCUUCCUGCCUGUGUGAUUCUGAGACAGCUUGUCUUCACUGGCCCAGAGGAGGCUGAGGCAGUGGGAAAGGCCCCCUCGCAAUCCCGGACCCGAGGGGGUGCCUGCUGAGCAGCGUCCUCUGCCGGCGGGAGGGACCUGCUGGACACCCGUCACCGCCGCCCACGCUCCACUGGCCCUGGCGGCAAACCCUGACCUCAGCCUGGCACUUCUUGCCCCGGUAUCAUGCGAGCAUUCCGUGAGCAAAAGCUUAAAAAAGACACGACCGUCCGCGCCUGAGAUUGAAAUCUUCUUUCACUUUGUCAGAAUCAGGCAGAAUCACUUGGAAAACAAAUAAACAGAUACAACACAUAGCUGGAGUUGGGUCUUUGGCUCAGGAAAUUCUUGAGCUCACGUGUCUGCUCGGAAGAGGUUCCCACAGCCUGGCCGUUAUUUUUUAUCUAUCCCCACAGGAUGUACUCCUACACUGUCUCUUCCAGGGUCCCUUGCUUCCUGUCCAUGUUCCCACAGCUGCCGAGGGUGACGGCUCCAGUUUGCACUCAGAGACUUCUGAACCUAGGGUCCUCGCUGUCUGCCUGAGCUGGUAGCUGCCUGCAAAUGCAUGGCAGAUGUUCAACAUCAGGAAUCAAAACCGAGUUUUCGCACCACGCGGCACAUUCUUCCUCCCGGUCCUCUCGACAGGAUGUGGAACAAUUUCCCUCAUCUGUUGCUUGCUCAGUGGGGUUGGGACUUUGUGGAUUUUACAAUGAUACUUAGAUUCCUCCCAAAUCUCUUCCAAGAGGUUAAAAAACAAAGAAAACGUUGAUUCAGUCACAGACGGUUUCUAGUUGAGGAGUUUCUGGCUUUGUGGGACACACAGGUGAAAUCGGGAAGCAGGAGAGGAAGCACCUCAUGGGGUUUCCUGAGUCUUGGCAUCCAAAGAAUGCCCUCCGGCUAGCUCAGGGGUCCUCUAAAUUCUGAAGAAAACAUGACCAAUCUACAAGAUUAAGGAAAAAAGCAAAAGGCAAUCUCUGUUCAUUUGCAAAUUGGACAAAUUCUGAGAAUUACUGCGAUCCUGCACUGGCACGGAGGGCACCCUGGUAGGGGACAGACAAGAGGGGCGCCAUUUCUCGCAACUAUACUCAGUAUGUGAUCAGUGUCCAGUGACACAAUUUGGAAAAUAUGCCUACUGCAACGGUUUCCUUCUGGAUUCCCAGGCUGUCACACUGGGUUCACAGAUGCUGUCCUGCGUGGGCAUGGCUCAUCCAGUGUCUUGCACAAGCUGGGUGUUGGCGAGUGUUGGUGAAGGGGACCGAGGCACCCUUUAUUUGUCUUUAUUUGUGCAAGCACGGAACGGGACCGGAAGGCAUCCAACUCAGCACCCCUACUCCUCAUCCAGGAUUUGAGCCUGGAGAGUCUGGGCCACGACUCUCAUCAGGGUGGGCUUGACUGCUUACCAGUUACUAAUGGGGAAGACAGUUUGCCCUUAACGAGGGCAAGCUGAAAGUGGAAGAAUAAAGCUGGGACAAAAAGUGUUCCGGAUGUCCAACCUCCCACUUGUCUGUGGUAAGAGCUCUAUAGGUAGAAGAACGUUACUUUGGCUCACCGACCCUACCACUUGACCAAAGGGCAACAGUCCCGAGAAGUUCAGAUGAUUCCUCCCAAAGCGCAGCCAGGGGAAGGCCAGGACAUGCCUGAGUCAGCCCCGUUCUUUGUCCAGAGUUCUUUCGGCUCCGCACGUUGGCCAGAUGCAAGGAACGUUCAGGAAAAGUGACAAGAAUAGCAUCAACACUUUGUUCUUAAAAUAAGAUCACGCAUAUAAUUAUUAGAGACUUUCUGCAUGCAUUUAAUUUUCUAUCCCUAGAAUUGCCCAAAUAGUAGCUUUUAAUUAAAUAUUAAAUGCUAAGUAUUUGAAGCAUGAGUAACUUCCUCAUGUACAAAAAAGAAGCUUUGCCAGGAAAAAACCGUCUCUCUCCCCACCCCCCUCCCCCUCUCAAAUAUCCCUACUCUCUUGCAAUUAGAGUAAUGUAUAAGCCACAAGUUGGGUUGUUGGAUUCCGCCGGCAGUCCACAACUGAAAGAGUAUUACACCGUUUCUAUUUUGCUUUCAAAAAACGGAGCCCAAGCUGGUUUUCCAAGAUUGACUGGAGAAAUGCCAAGUUUCCCAUUAUGGGCAUCUGGAAUGAGGGUCCAGUAUGACUUAGAAGCAAACAUGUUCCACUUCUCUCCAGCGGACUCCGGCUUCCUUUGUGAAGUCUGCACUCAGACUCACUUGCUUUUGCGAUAUCUCACCGCCUGGAGAAGGACAGGAAGUCCUUGAGUCCUGCUCUAUAAAUAGAUUGAUGAUACAGACAUCCUCAGGCUUAUGAGGAUGAAGUAAAUUGAUUCACACAUGCAAAACAUUUAGACCCAUCUCUGCUGCCCAGUGAGACAUAAAUGUUUUACCUCUUUUUAUUUGCCAUGAUCACUAGAACUCCAGGCUUUACCUAAGAAAUGUAGAAGGGUGUUUUUAUUUUAGCUUUGUCGAGAUAUAAUUGACAAAACUGUCAGGUAAAGCCUACAACAUGGCGAUUUGUUAUACGUAUAUAUUGUGAGGCAAUCUCCCGCAUGAAGUUAAUGAAAACCUCAAUCGCUUCACUUAUUCACUCCCCUCCCCCCCUUUUUGGUGAGAACAUUUAAGUUCUAUUCUCCGCAGUCAAUUGUACAAUAAGAUGUUGGCAACUGUAGUCACCAUGCUACACAUUAGAUCCUGAGAGCUUACUCAUCUUGCAACGGACGCUUUGUAUCCUUCUACCAACCUCUCCCUAUUUUCCACCCCCACCUCCCGUCCCUUUUCUAGUCUCUGUUUCUAUGAGUUUGACUUUUUUUUCUUUUUUCUUUUUCUUAAGACUACACUUAGAACUGAUGCCAUGCAGUAUUUGUAUGUUUCUGCCUGGGGUAUUUUACUUUCCAUGAUGCCUUUAAGGUCCAUCCAUGUUGUCUCAAAUGGCAAAAUUUCCUUCCUUUUUAUGGCUGAAUAAUAUUCAGUUGGAUAUAUAUAACACAUUUCUUCAUCCAUUCAUCCACCCGUGGACAUUGAUGUUGUCUCCAUACCUUGGCUAUGGCUUUAAAGAUCAUGGGAGUGCAGAUACCUUUUCAAUAUAAUAAUGUGUUUCCUUUGGGUAUACAGAGAGAGGUCAGAUUGCCAGAUCAUCCUAUUUUUAGUUUCUUGAGGAAAAUCUAUACUCUUUUCCAGAGUGGCCGCACCAGUUUGCAUUCCCACCAACAGGGCAAGAGGGCCCCCCUUUCUCCACAUCCUUGCCAACACUUGUUGUCUCUUGUCUUUUUGAAAUUAGCCAUUUUGACAUAUGAGGUGAUAGCUCAUUCUAGUUUUGGUUUAUAUUUCUCUAAUGAUUAGUGAUAUUUAACACCUUUUCAUGUACCUGUUGUCCAUUUAUAUGCCUUUUUGGGAAAAAUGUCUAUUUGGGGCAUUUGCCCAUUUUUUUUUUCACUCAGGUUAUUUGUUUUAUUUAUUUAUUUGUCUGUUUACUUAUUUGCUAUUAAGUUGUAUGCAUUUCUUGUAUGUUUUGAAUAUUAACCCCUGAUCAGAUGUGUGGUUUGCAAUAUUUUUCCUCAUUCCGUAGGUUGUUCUUUCAUUUUGUUAAUGGUUUCUUUUUUCUAAGCAGAAGCUUUUUAGUCUGAGGUAUACCCAGUUUUUUGUUUUCGCUUUUGUUGAUUUUGCUUUUGGUGUCAAAUUCAAAAUUACGGCCAUCACCAAUGUUAAGGAGCUUACCACCUCUGUUUUCUUCUAGGAGUUUUAUGGCUUCAAGUCUUACGUUCAAGUCUUGAAUGAAUUUUGAAUUGAUUUUUGUGUAUGGUGUCAGAUAGGGGUCCUGUUUCGUUGUUUUGCAUGUAGCUAUCCAGUUUUUCCAACAUCAUUUAUUGAAGAGAUUGUCCUUUGCCUGUUGUAUAUUCUUGCCUCCUUUGUUACAAGUUAGUUGAUCAUGUAAACAUGGGUUUAUUUCUGUAGUGUCUAUUUCACUGAACUACAUAUCUGUUUUUAUGCCAAUAUCAUACUGUUUUGACUAUCAUAGCUUUGUAAUAUAGUUUGAAACCAGGGAACAUGAUAACUUCAGCUUUUCUUAAGAUUGUUUCGGCUAUUUAGAACCUUUUGUGGCUCCAUAAAAAUUUUAGGAUUGUUCUAGUUUGUGAAAAAUGCCAUUGGGGUUUUGAUAAGGAUUUCACUGAUUCUGUAGAUUUUUUUCAGUAGUAUAGAUGUAUUGACAAUAUUAAUUCUUCCAAUCUAUGAGUAUGGAAUGUCUUUCCAUUUAUUUGUGUCUUCUUCAAUUUCUUUCAUCAAUGUCUUAUAGUUUUCAGUGUACAGGUCUUUCCCCUCCUUGGUUAAAUUUAUUCUUAAGUAGUUUAUUCUUUUUAAUGCUAUUGUAAAUGGGAUUAUUUUCUUAGUUUUUCUUUAUGAUAAUUUAUUGUUAGUGUAUAAAAAUACAACUGACUUCUUGUAUAUUGAUCUUGUAUCAUGCAACUUUAAUGGAUUAAUUUAUUAGGAAUAGCUUUUUUUGGUAGCCUCUUUAUAGUUUUCUAUACACAUCACCUUCGAGUAUGGUGUUAGCUAUGGGCUUCUCAUAAUGUACCUAUUAUGCUGAGGUACAUUAUCUCUAUACCCAGUUUAUUGAGGGUUUUUAUUAUGAAAGAAUGUUGACUUUUGUUAAACCCUUUUUAUGCAUAGAUUGAGAUCAUGAGUUUUACCUUGUAUUAUGUUAAUGUGAUUUAUCACACUGAUUGAUUCAUGCAUGUUGAGCCAUCCUUGCAUCCUUAAAAUAAAUCCCACUUGAUCAUGAA
Neofelis nebulosa (Clouded leopard) is the source of this 6310-nucleotide long non-coding RNA. RefSeq lists it as uncharacterized. The transcript is spliced from 3 exons. Lineage: Eukaryota; Metazoa; Chordata; Mammalia; Carnivora; Felidae. The record is from RefSeq and is a predicted model, not a curated record.